This 253-nucleotide ribosomal RNA is filed under the name uncultured bacterium. RNAcentral's name for it is "partial 16S ribosomal RNA". It matches the Rfam family "Bacterial small subunit ribosomal RNA", at positions 524 to 776 of the family's 1533-position model. RNAcentral also lists the same sequence under 1 other name. The record is from RNAcentral.
UACGGAGGGUGCAAGCGUUGUUCGGAAUCAUUGGGCGUAAAGGGCGCGUAGGCGGGACGUUAAGUCCGAUGUGAAAUCCCUCGGCUCAACUGAGGACGUGCAUCGGAUACUGGCGACCUUGAGUCCUGGAGAGGGUAGCGGAAUUCCCAGUGUAGAGGUGAAAUUCGUAGAUAUUGGGAGGAACACCGGUGGCGAAGGCGGCUACCUGGACAGUGACUGACGCUGAGGCGCGAAAGCAUGGGUAGCAAACAGG